UUUCUUGUGACCCAGUUGGUAGAGCAUUGUGCCAACAGUGCAAGGGUUGUGGGUUCAAAUCCCAGAGAUAAAC
This is a non-coding RNA of Danionella cerebrum, 73 nucleotides long. The record is from the annotation of a GenBank genome assembly. NCBI's taxonomy places the organism in Eukaryota, Metazoa, Chordata, Actinopteri, Cypriniformes, Danionidae.